RNAcentral lists this ribosomal RNA (467 nucleotides) under uncultured bacterium. RNAcentral's name for it is "partial 16S ribosomal RNA". It matches the Rfam family "Bacterial small subunit ribosomal RNA", at positions 28 to 506 of the family's 1533-position model. The record is from RNAcentral.
GACGAACGCUGGCGGCGUGCUUAACACAUGCAAGUCGAACGGAAAGGCCCUGCUUUUGUGGGGUGCUCGAGUGGCGAACGGGUGAGUAACACGUGAGUAACCUGCCCUUGACUUUGGGAUAACUUCAGGAAACUGGGGCUAAUACCGGAUAGGAGCUCCUGCUGCAUGGUGGGGGUUGGAAAGUUUCGGCGGUUUGGGAUGGACUCGCGGCUUAUCAGCUUGUUGGUGGGGUAGUGGCUUACCAAGGCUUUGACGGGUAGCCGGCCUGAGAGGGUGACCGGCCACAUGGGGACUGAGAUACGGCCCAGACUCCUACGGGAGGCAGCAGUGGGGAAUAUUGCACAAUGGGCGGAAGCCUGAUGCAGCAACGCCGCGUGCGGGAUGACGGCCUUCGGGUUGUAAACCGCUUUCGCCUGUGACGAAGCGUGAGUGACGGUAAUGGGUAAAGAAGCACCGGCUAACUACGU